This 2923-nucleotide ribosomal RNA is filed under the name Campylobacter coli. RNAcentral describes it as "23S ribosomal RNA". It matches the Rfam family "Bacterial large subunit ribosomal RNA". The record is from RNAcentral. Lineage: Bacteria; Pseudomonadati; Campylobacterota; Epsilonproteobacteria; Campylobacterales; Campylobacteraceae.
AAAAAAGGUAAGCUACUAAGAGCGAAUGGUGGAUGCCUUGACUGGUAAAGGCGAUGAAGGACGUACUAGACUGCGAUAAGCUACGGGGAGCUGUCAAGAAGCUUUGAUCCGUAGAUUUCCGAAUGGGGCAACCCAAUGUAUAGAGAUAUACAUUACCUAUAUAGGAGCGAACGAGGGGAAUUGAAACAUCUUAGUACCCUCAGGAAAAGAAAUCAAUAGAGAUUGCGUCAGUAGCGGCGAGCGAAAGCGCAAGAGGGCAAACCCAGUGCUUGCACUGGGGGUUGUAGGACUGCAAUGUGCAAGAGGUGAGUUUAGCAGAACAUUCUGGAAAGUAUAGCCAUAGAGGGUGAUAGUCCCGUAUGCGAAAAACAAACCUUAGCUAGCAGUAUCCUGAGUAGGGCGGGACACGAGAAAUCCUGUCUGAAGCUGGGUCGACCACGAUCCAACCCUAAAUACUAAUACCAGAUCGAUAGUGCACAAGUACCGUGAGGGAAAGGUGAAAAGAACUGAGGUGAUCAGAGUGAAAUAGAACCUGAAACCAUUUGCUUACAAUCAUUCAGAGCACUAUGUAGCAAUACAGUGUGAUGGACUGCCUUUUGCAUAAUGAGCCUGCGAGUUGUGGUGUCUGGCAAGGUUAAGCAAACGCGAAGCCGUAGCGAAAGCGAGUCUGAAUAGGGCGCUUAGUCAGAUGCUGCAGACCCGAAACGAAGUGAUCUAUCCAUGAGCAAGUUGAAGCUAGUGUAAGAACUAGUGGAGGACUGAACCCAUAGGCGUUGAAAAGCCCCGGGAUGACUUGUGGAUAGGGGUGAAAGGCCAAUCAAACUUCGUGAUAGCUGGUUCUCUCCGAAAUAUAUUUAGGUAUAGCGUUGUGUCGUAAUAUAAGGGGGUAGAGCACUGAAUGGGCUAGGGCAUACACCAAUGUACCAAACCCUAUCAAACUCCGAAUACCUUAUAUGUAAUCACAGCAGUCAGGCGGCGAGUGAUAAAAUCCGUCGUCAAGAGGGAAACAACCCAGACUACCAGCUAAGGUCCCUAAAUCUUACUUAAGUGGAAAACGAUGUGAAGUUACUUAAACAACCAGGAGGUUGGCUUAGAAGCAGCCAUCCUUUAAAGAAAGCGUAAUAGCUCACUGGUCUAGUGAUUUUGCGCGGAAAAUAUAACGGGGCUAAAGUAAGUACCGAAGCUGUAGACUUGAUUUUAUCAAGUGGUAGGAGAGCGUUCUAUUUGCGUCGAAGGUAUACCGGUAAGGAGUGCUGGAGCGAAUAGAAGUGAGCAUGCAGGCAUGAGUAGCGAUAAUUAAUGUGAGAAUCAUUAACGCCGUAAACCCAAGGUUUCCUACGCGAUGCUCGUCAUCGUAGGGUUAGUCGGGUCCUAAGUCGAGUCCGAAAGGGGUAGACGAUGGCAAAUUGGUUAAUAUUCCAAUACCAACAUUAGUGUGCGAUGGAAGGACGCUUAGGGCUAAGGGGGCUAGCGGAUGGAAGUGCUAGUCUAAGGUCGUAGGAGGUUAUACAGGCAAAUCCGUAUAACAAUACUCCGAGAACUGAAAGGCUUUUUGAAGUCUUCGGAUGGAUAGAAGAACCCCUGAUGCCAUCGAGCCAAGAAAAGUUUCUAAGUUUAGCUAAUGUUGCCCGUACCGUAAACCGACACAGGUGGGUGGGAUGAGUAUUCUAAGGCGCGUGGAAGAACUCUCUUUAAGGAACUCUGCAAAAUAGCACCGUAUCUUCGGUAUAAGGUGUGGUUCGCUUCGUAUUAGGAUUUACUCCGAAAGCGAAGAAACUUACAACAAAGAGUCCCUCCCGACUGUUUACCAAAAACACAGCACUCUGCUAACUCGUAAGAGGAUGUAUAGGGUGUGACGCCUGCCCGGUGCUCGAAGGUUAAUUGAUGGGGUUAGCAUUAGCGAAGCUCUUGAUCGAAGCCCGAGUAAACGGCGGCCGUAACUAUAACGGUCCUAAGGUAGCGAAAUUCCUUGUCGGUUAAAUACCGACCUGCAUGAAUGGCGUAACGAGAUGGGAGCUGUCUCAAAGAGGGAUCCAGUGAAAUUGUAGUGGAGGUGAAAAUUCCUCCUACCCGCGGCAAGACGGAGAGACCCCGUGGACCUUUACUAUAACUUGACACUGCUAUUUGGAUAAGAAUGUGCAGGAUAGGUGGGAGGCUUUGAGUAUAUGACGCCAGUUGUAUAUGAGCCAUUGUUGAGAUACCACUCUUUCUUAUUUGGGUAGCUAACCAGCUUGAGUUAUCCUCAAGUGGGACAAUGUCUGGUGGGUAGUUUGACUGGGGCGGUCGCCUCCCAAAUAAUAACGGAGGCUUACAAAGGUUGGCUCAGAACGGUUGGAAAUCGUUCGUAGAGUAUAAAGGUAUAAGCCAGCUUAACUGCAAGACAUACAAGUCAAGCAGAGACGAAAGUCGGUCUUAGUGAUCCGGUGGUUCUGUGUGGAAGGGCCAUCGCUCAAAGGAUAAAAGGUACCCCGGGGAUAACAGGCUGAUCUCCCCCAAGAGCUCACAUCGACGGGGAGGUUUGGCACCUCGAUGUCGGCUCAUCGCAUCCUGGGGCUGGAGCAGGUCCCAAGGGUAUGGCUGUUCGCCAUUUAAAGCGGUACGCGAGCUGGGUUCAGAACGUCGUGAGACAGUUCGGUCCCUAUCUGCCGUGGGCGUAAGAAGAUUGAAGAGAUUUGACCCUAGUACGAGAGGACCGGGUUGAACAAACCACUGGUGUAGCUGUUGUUCUGCCAAGAGCAUCGCAGCGUAGCUAAGUUUGGAAAGGAUAAACGCUGAAAGCAUCUAAGCGUGAAGCCAACUCUAAGAUGAAUCUUCUCUAAGCUCUCUAGAAGACUACUAGUUUGAUAGGCUGGGUGUGUAAUGGAUGAAAGUCCUUUAGCUGACCAGUACUAAUAGAGCGUUUGGCUUAUCUUUAAUAAAGCAU